RNAcentral lists this ribosomal RNA (253 nucleotides) under uncultured bacterium. RNAcentral describes it as "partial 16S ribosomal RNA". It matches the Rfam family "Bacterial small subunit ribosomal RNA", at positions 524 to 776 of the family's 1533-position model. The record is from RNAcentral.
UACGAACCGUACAAACGUUAUUCGGAAUUACUGGGCGUAAAGCGCACGUAGGCGGCUUUUUAAGUCGGAGGUGAAAUCCUGGAGCUCAACUCCAGAACUGCCUUCGAUACUGGAGAGCUCGAGUCCGGGAGAGGUGAGUGGAACUGCGAGUGUAGAGGUGAAAUUCGUAGAUAUUCGCAAGAACACCAGUGGCGAAGGCGGCUCACUGGCCCGGUACUGACGCUGAGGUGCGAAAGCGUGGGGAGCAAACAGG